AGUCUGUUUGCUUUAUUGCGAGUGGAUUGAUGGGAACUCUUUUUAAACCUCGCCAUUUAGAGGAAGGUGAAGUCGUAACAAGGUUUCCGUAGGUGAACCUGCGGAAGGAUCAUUA
RNAcentral lists this ribosomal RNA (115 nucleotides) under Phytophthora infestans T30-4. RNAcentral describes it as "18S ribosomal RNA". It matches the Rfam family "Eukaryotic small subunit ribosomal RNA", at positions 1721 to 1831 of the family's 1831-position model. The record is from RNAcentral. Lineage: Eukaryota; Oomycota; Peronosporomycetes; Peronosporales; Peronosporaceae.